This 453-nucleotide ribosomal RNA is filed under the name uncultured Porphyromonadaceae bacterium. RNAcentral describes it as "partial 16S ribosomal RNA". It matches the Rfam family "Bacterial small subunit ribosomal RNA", at positions 341 to 792 of the family's 1533-position model. The record is from RNAcentral. Lineage: Bacteria; Pseudomonadati; Bacteroidota; Bacteroidia; Bacteroidales; Porphyromonadaceae.
ACGGAAGGCAGCAGUGAGGAAUAUUGGUCAAUGGUCGGAAGACUGAACCAGCCAUGCCGCGUGCAGGAAUAAGGCCCUAUGGGUCGUAAACUGCUUUUGUGGUGGAGCAAUAAGGCGUACGUGUACGCCGAUGAGAGUACAUCACGAAUAAGCAUCGGCUAACUCCGUGCCAGCAGCCGCGGUAAUACGGAGGAUGCGAGCGUUAUCCGGAUUUAUUGGGUUUAAAGGGUGCGUAGGCGGGAUGUUAAGUCAGCGGUGAAAGCGUGUAGCUCAACUAUACCAAGCCGUUGAAACUGGCGUUCUUGAGUGUAAACGAGGUAGGCGGAAUGUGACGUGUAGCGGUGAAAUGCUUAAAUAUGUCACAGAACCCCGAUUGCGAAGGCAGCUUACCAGCAUACGACUGACGCUGAUGCACGAAAGCGUGGGUAUCAAACAGGAUUAGAUACCCUGGUA